UAGGGAAUCUUCCACAAUGGGCGCAAGCCUGAUGGAGCAACGCCGCGUGAGUGAAGAAGGUCUUCGGAUCGUAAAACUCUGUUGUUAGAGGAGAACAUGCAGGAGAGUAACUGUUCUUGUAUUGACGGUAUCUAACCAGAAAGCCACGGCUAACUACGUGCCAG
Molecule: ribosomal RNA, 164 nt
Filed under: uncultured bacterium
Lineage: Bacteria
Description: partial 16S rRNA
Rfam family: Bacterial small subunit ribosomal RNA
Source: RNAcentral